RNAcentral lists this long non-coding RNA (1155 nucleotides) under Theropithecus gelada (gelada). RNAcentral describes it as "lncRNA (ENSTGEG00000019764.1)". Lineage: Eukaryota; Metazoa; Chordata; Mammalia; Primates; Cercopithecidae. The record is from RNAcentral.
AGAUGACCAAGAAGGGCAGAGCAGAGCCCCGUCAGCCACUCCUUGGGCUGGAAGUGACUUCCUCAGUAUGGAUGGCAGCUGUUAACAAGCAGUGGUGGUUUGGCCGGAGGCCUCUGUGGGGCACAGACAUGGCGUGAAGGAUGGCAGAUGGGCGUGCACGCUCGGGAGGACAGGCAGGUGGCAUAGACCUGAGCAGGUGGCGUCGGCGCACGAGAAGGGUGUGUCUGAGACAGGAUGUUUAUCCCAAAGGCCAGGAGUGGACGAGGCGGACGAGUGGCCGUGAGCGAUGGCAGCCGCACUUUUCCUCGCUUGUUUUGAAGGCCAAGCCGGCGGCCUCCUCGGCAGCUGGGGACAGUUGCUUCCUCAGCUUCUGUGUGCCGACUGCCUCACCUGACACACAGCCUGGGCGUGAGAGAAGCCAACCAGGUGCCUGAGCUGACUGACUCCCUCCUCCCUCCAUCCUCCAGUCUCCUCUCUUCCUCCAUCCUCCUGUCUCCUCUCUUCCUCCAUCCUCCUCCCUCCAGUCUCCUCCAUCCGCCCUCCUCCCUCUGCCUUAUCUGGAAUCGGGGUCCUGGUCCUGGGCUAGAGGCAGACCCUGGCCCGGGAGAGGUUCUCAAGGCACUGCGGGAGGGCAGCGUCAUGAUGUCCUGAAGCUUGCCGCGUCCGGUGCUGUCAGCCGGCUGAAGGGAGAGACUGUCACAGCACCCGCAGCUAUGGAAGGUGACGUCCGAAAAUCUGUUAGGCACCUUGAUGUCAGGUUUCCAAGACCAAAGGCAAGAAUAGUCGGACCAAACUUAGGAAGAGUCAGAGAAACUGAGCGUGACCUAGAAGAGGCAGAUGGCCCUUCCCCUCCUCUCCUGCUGAUUGUUCUGUCACACACACGACGUGAAAUCCACACUGGCCUGUGAAGACUGAGGGCAGGUCUUGGAUGUGCCGCCCUCACAUGGCCCAGGAGCGCCAGCAGCUUGGGGGCCACCACAGGCCCCAGGGCCUCUUUACUCUCACGGGUUCAGCGGACGAUAAAACUUCCCGGGGAAGGAGUAAAGGACGAUCCAAAACCUGAACUGAAAAAGUAUGAAAACCAUUUCAUUUCCCUCGGGUUCUCCCCACUAGGUCUGCAGUGCCUUGGGGGUGACUGAUGGCCCUCAGUGAGAC